CCUACAUGAAGCUGGAAUUGCUAGUAAUCACAGGUCAGCAUACUGUGGUGAAUACGUUCCCGGGCCUUGUACACACCGCCCGUCACACCAUGAGAGUUGAGAAUACCCGAAGCCCAUGUCAAAGUGGUCGAAGGUAGGCUUGAUGAUUGGGGUGAAGUCGUAACAAGGUAAC
This 172-nucleotide ribosomal RNA is filed under the name uncultured bacterium. Its description in RNAcentral is "partial 16S ribosomal RNA". It matches the Rfam family "Bacterial small subunit ribosomal RNA", at positions 1315 to 1500 of the family's 1533-position model. The record is from RNAcentral.